ACGAACGCUGGCGGCGUGCUUAACACAUGCAAGUCGAACGGAAAGGCCCUGCUUUUGUGGGGUGCUCGAGUGGCGAACGGGUGAGUAACACGUGAGUAACCUGCCCUUGACUUUGGGAUAACUUCAGGAAACUGGGGCUAAUACCGGAUAGGAGCUCCUGCUGCAUGGUGGGGGUUGGAAAGUUUCGGCGGUUGGGGAUGGACUCGCGGCUUAUCAGCUUGUUGGUGGGGUAGUGGCUUACCAAGGCUUUGACGGGUAGCCGGCCUGAGAGGGUGACCGGCCACAUUGGGACUGAGAUACGGCCCAGACUCCUACGGGAGGCAGCAGUGGGGAAUAUUGCACAAUGGGCGGAAGCCUGAUGCAGCAACGCCGCGUGCGGGAUGACGGCCUUCGGGUUGUAAACCGCUUUCGCCUGUGACGAAGCGUGAGUGACGGUAAUGGGUAAAGAAGCACCGGCUAACUACGUGCCGGCAGCCGCGGUGAUACGUAGGGUGCGAGCGUUGUCCGGAUUUAUUGGGCGUAAAGGGCUCGUAGGUGGUUGAUCGCGUCGGAAGUGUAAUCUUGGGGCUUAACCCUGAGCGUGCUUUCGAUACGGGUUGACUUGAGGAAGGUAGGGGAGAAUGGAAUUCCUGGUGGAGCGGUGGAAUGCGCAGAUAUCAGGAGGAACACCAGUGGCGAAGGCGGUUCUCUGGGCCUUUCCUGACGCUGAGGAGCGAAAGCGUGGGGAGCGAACAGGCUUAGAUACCCUGGUAGUCCACGCUGUAAACGGUGGGUACUAGGUGUGGGGUCCAUUCCACGGGUUCCGUGCCGUAGCUAACGCUUUAAGUACCCCGCCUGGGGAGUACGGCCGCAAGGCUAAAACUCAAAGGAAUUGACGGGGCCCCGCACAAGCGGCGGAGCAUGCGGAUUAAUUCGAUGCAACGCGUAGAACCUUACCUGGGUUUGACAUGGAUCGGGAGUGCUCAGAGAUGGGUGUGCCUCUUUUGGGGUCGGUUCACAGGUGGUGCAUGGCUGUCGUCAGCUCGUGUCGUGAGAUGUUGGGUUAAGUCCCGCAACGAGCGCAACCCUUGUUCACUGUUGCCAGCACGUUAUGGUGGGGACUCAGUGGAGACCGCCGGGGUCAACUCGGAGGAAGGUGGGGAUGACGUCAAGUCAUCAUGCCCCUUAUGUCCAGGGCUUCACGCAUGCUACAAUGGCUGGUACAGAGAGUGGCGAGCCUGUGAGGGUGAGCGAAUCUCGGAAAGCCGGUCUCAGUUCGGAUUGGGGUCUGCAACUCGACCUCAUGAAGACGGAGUCGCUAGUAAUCGCAGAUCAGCAACGCUGCGGUGAAUACGUUCCCGGGGCUUGUACACACCGCCCGUCAAGUCAUGAAAGUUGGUAACACCCGAAGCCGGUGGCCUAACCGUUGUGGGGGAGCCGUCGAAGGUGGGACUGGUGAUUAGGACU
Molecule: ribosomal RNA, 1446 nt
Filed under: uncultured organism
Description: partial small subunit ribosomal RNA
Rfam family: Bacterial small subunit ribosomal RNA
Source: RNAcentral